UGCAUUUUUAGUUGUACAUCAAACUACAACAAUUUCUUGAACGACAUAUAGAUUAUAACUCAAUAAAAGUAUAAGCUGCAAAGUAAAGUAAAUUAGUUGCUCAUGUUCAACUAUGUCAUGGUGUAAGUAAACAUCUUAAAAUAUUGCACAUGAACUCUUAAUAGUUGUGGGAAAAAACCAUCUUAAUUGUUUCUUUUUGAUACAAUUUUUACAAGUUACUCUAUAAAGCAAUAAAAUUCUAAAGCUCUAGUUUAUAUGAGUGAAUUACCUUGAAUUCUAAGAAUUGUCUAUAAAUGUCAGAUAUUCAUUAAUUUGCAAACUUACAUCAGCAGAAGCAAUAUUUUUUUGAAUCGGCAGCAGCAGAAGCAAUAUGAUAUUGAGAACAUUCAUCAUAUUAAAUUAAGUUAGAAAUUAAACACCAAUGCUAAAUAAUUUGGACAACUGUAUUACCUUCCAUAGAAGCAAGCAACAUGUGUAAGGGUGGAUGCUAUGGUUGCAAAUCCAAAGCCAUAAGUGAGAGAGAAAAACACACUUAGGUGAAUUCUACCUUGCUCUGCAUACUUUGCUUCAUCUAGCUCAAACUUGUCAUUGACAAUAGCAGAUAUGUUGUACUUUUGACCUUGAGCAGUGAACAAAUGAGAGGAGAAAAGGGGGAACGUUUUAGCAUUGUACGCAUUUAGGCCCCAAUAUGCAAUGGGAACCACAGCAUAGAUAAUCAAUACAUAGCC
This 728-nucleotide long non-coding RNA is filed under the name Medicago truncatula (barrel medic). Its description in RNAcentral is "long non-coding RNA (MTRU_LNC007977)". The record is from RNAcentral. Lineage: Eukaryota; Viridiplantae; Streptophyta; Magnoliopsida; Fabales; Fabaceae.